This 241-nucleotide small RNA is filed under the name uncultured Dolosicoccus sp. RNAcentral describes it as "5' ureB small RNA". It matches the Rfam family "5' ureB small RNA", at positions 11 to 250 of the family's 292-position model. Lineage: Bacteria; Bacillati; Bacillota; Bacilli; Lactobacillales; Aerococcaceae. The record is from RNAcentral.
UUGGUCUGGAGAAAUGUAGUGGAUGUGCGUAUCGACUCCACCAGCGGUCGCAAUCAUGUUCUCACCAGCGUAUACUUCUGUCGAUGCUCCGAUAACCAUACCUUCUGUAACACCUUCCAUGGUGUCUGGGUUACCUGCUUUACCGAUCUUGUGGAUAUGUCCAUCCUUUAGACCAAUGUCAGCUUUGUAGAUACCGGUAUAGUCAACGAUUAACGCGUUAACGAUGACUGAGUCUAGAACU